Molecule: ribosomal RNA, 520 nt
Filed under: uncultured Glomus
Lineage: Eukaryota; Fungi; Glomeromycota; Glomeromycetes; Glomerales; Glomeraceae
Description: SSU rRNA
Rfam family: Eukaryotic small subunit ribosomal RNA
Source: RNAcentral
AGCAGCCGCGGUAAUUCCAGCUCCAAUAGCGUAUAUUAAAGUUGUUGCAGUUAAAAAGCUCGUAGUUGAAUUUCGGGGUUAGUAGGUUGGUCGUGCCAAUGGUAUGCACUGGCCUCACUGAUUCCUCCUUCUUGAUGAACCUUAAUGCCAUUAAUUUGGUGUUUUGGGGAAUCUGGACUGUUACUUUGAAAAAAUUAGAGUGUUUAAAGCAGGCUCGCGCUUGAAUACAUUAGCAUGGAAUAAUGAAAUAGGACGUUCGAUCCUAUUUUGUUGGUUUCUAGGAUUGACGUAAUGAUUAAUAGGGAUAGUUGGGGGCAUUAGUAUUCAAUUGUCAGAGGUGAAAUUCUUGGAUUUAUUGAAGACUAACUACUGCGAAAGCAUUUGCCAAGGAUGUUUUCAUUAAUCAAGAACGAAAGUUAGGGGAUCGAAGACGAUCAGAUACCGUCGUAGUCUUAACCAUAAACUAUGCCGACUAGGGAUCGGAUGAUGUUAAUUUUUAAUGACUCAUUCGGCGCCUUAA